RNAcentral lists this ribosomal RNA (95 nucleotides) under Pogona vitticeps (central bearded dragon). The record is from RNAcentral. Lineage: Eukaryota; Metazoa; Chordata; Lepidosauria; Squamata; Agamidae.
AUGUACUUCUGUACCACCUUGAGCACACCUGAUCUUAUGUGAUUUUGGAAGCUGAACAGGGUCAGGCCCGGUUACCGUAUUUGCCGGUGUACAAG